AGCGAACGCUGGCGGCAGGCUUAACACAUGCAAGUCGAGCGGGCACUUUCGGGUGUCAGCGGCGGACGGGUGAGUAACGCGUGGGAACGUGCCCUCUGGUUCGGAAUAACUCAGGGAAACUUGAGCUAAUACCGGAUACGCCCUUUUGGGGAAAGGCUUGCUGCCGGAGGAUCGGCCCGCGUUUGAUUAGCUAGUUGGUGAGGUAACGGCUCACCAAGGCGACGAUCAGUAGCUGGUCUGAGAGGAUGAUCAGCCACACUGGGACUGAGACACGGCCCAGACUCCUACGGGAGGCAGCAGUGGGGAAUAUUGGACAAUGGGCGCAAGCCUGAUCCAGCCAUGCCGCGUGAGUGAUGAAGGCCUUAGGGUUGUAAAGCUCUUUUAUCCGGGACGAUAAUGACGGUACCGGAGGAAUAAGCCCCGGCUAACUUCGUG
RNAcentral lists this ribosomal RNA (435 nucleotides) under uncultured bacterium. Its description in RNAcentral is "partial 16S ribosomal RNA". It matches the Rfam family "Bacterial small subunit ribosomal RNA", at positions 29 to 507 of the family's 1533-position model. The record is from RNAcentral.